This 449-nucleotide ribosomal RNA is filed under the name uncultured bacterium. Its description in RNAcentral is "partial 16S ribosomal RNA". It matches the Rfam family "Bacterial small subunit ribosomal RNA", at positions 29 to 523 of the family's 1533-position model. The record is from RNAcentral.
AACGAACGCUGGCGGCAUACCUAACACAUGCAAGUCGAACGAGAUCUUCGGGUCUAGUGGCGCACGGGUGCGUAACGCGUGGGAAUCUGACCUUUUGUUCGGAAUAACAGUUGGAAACGACUGCUAAUACCGGAUGAUGACGAAAGUCCAAAGAUUUAUCGCCAGAGGAUGAGCCCGCGUAGGAUUAGCUAGUUGGUGUGGUAAAGGCGCACCAAGGCGACGAGACUUAGCUGGUCUGAGAGGAUGAUCAGCCAAAAUGGGACUGAGACACGGCCCAGACGCCUCCGGGAGGCAGCAUGGGGGAAUAUUGGACAAUGGGCGAAAGCCUGAUCCAGCAAUGCCGCGUGAGUGAGAAAGGCCUUAGGGUUGUAAAGCUCUUUUACCCGGGAUGAUAAUGACAGUACCGGGAGAAUAAGCUCCGGCUAACUCCGUGCCAGCCGCCGCCGUAA